This 442-nucleotide ribosomal RNA is filed under the name uncultured bacterium. RNAcentral describes it as "partial 16S ribosomal RNA". It matches the Rfam family "Bacterial small subunit ribosomal RNA", at positions 338 to 795 of the family's 1533-position model. The record is from RNAcentral.
CCUACGGGUGGCAGCAGUGGGGAAUAUUCGGCCAUGGGCGCAAGCCUGACCCAGCAACGCCGCGUGAAGGAAGAAGGCUUUCGGGUUGUAAACUUCUGUUGUCAGGGAAGAGUAGAAGACGGUGCCUGACGAAUAAGCCACGGCUAACUACGUGCCAGCAGCCGCGGUAAUCCGUAUGGUGCCAGCGUUGUCCGGAUUUACUGGGUGUAAAGGGCGUGUAGCCGGGUUGACAAGUCCGAUGGGAAAUCCUGCGGCUUAACCGAAGAAAUGCAUUUGAAACUGUUGAUCUUGAGUACUGGAGAGGAAGACGGAAUUCCUAGUGUAGCGGUGAAAUGCGUAGAUAUUAGGAGGAACACCAGUGGCGAAGGCGGUCUGCUGGACAGCAACUGACGGUGAGGCGCGAAAGCGUGGGGAGCAAACAGGAUUAGAUACCCUUGUAGUC